ACAGCUGCAGCACGGUCACCAUAAACAAGCAUUUCCCCAGCUGGGCCAUGGCCCGUGGAAACCCUGCUUCUCCCUCCAGGUUCCUGUGGACUCCAGCUUCUGGGAAGGAGGCCAUGGUUUCUGAGAGUGGGGCUUGCAUGUGGCAAAGAAUAAGGAUGGCAAGAAGGGCGGAAGCACCCCUGAGCACUGCAGCUGCUACUUCCAGU
Molecule: long non-coding RNA, 206 nt
Filed under: Homo sapiens (human)
Lineage: Eukaryota; Metazoa; Chordata; Mammalia; Primates; Hominidae
Description: HSALNT0068524
Source: RNAcentral